This 5762-nucleotide long non-coding RNA is filed under the name Homo sapiens (human). RNAcentral's name for it is "long independently transcribed non-coding RNA 2642, transcript variant 6 (LINC02642)". The record is from RNAcentral. Lineage: Eukaryota; Metazoa; Chordata; Mammalia; Primates; Hominidae.
AGGAUCAGCAUGACUGUAGUGUUCCUGGCUUAACCCUGAGAGGUUGCUGUUCCCAGUGACUAUCUAGGCUGAAGCCCAUGUAGGAUUUGAAGAGACUGAUCCAGGCUUUAUGAGUGGCUGCGACCAUGCUGUAUGUGUGUAUGUGUGUGUGUACACCGCCUAAGUGUGUUCAUUUCAGCCACAGCAAGAGUUAUGUUACAAGGAUAGCAUAGACAGCCCUGCCUAUUGCAAGAGUAAUGCAUCAGGUGUGAAACAGAUCUUUAAUGCUGUGUGAAGCAGGCUCUUUUAAGGUCAGCCAGACUUUCUGGGGAAAAAGAAACUAUUGCCUAACCCUUCAGGUCAUGGAGACUUAUGUUUUUGUGUUUUUCUCGCAGUUUUACAGUUUUAGCACCUACAUUUAAGUCUUUGAUCCCUUUUGUGUUCAUUUUUAUGGAUAGUGAGAAGUAGGGGUUCAAAUCCAUUUUUUUUUUCAUCUAGAUAUUCAGUUGUCCCAGAAUCAUUUGUUGAAAAAGCUCUUCUUUCCCCCAUUGAAUUGUCUUAGCACAUUUUUCAAACAUUACCCAACCACAAAUGUAAGGAUUUAUUUUUGGACACUCAGUUCUAUUUAACUGAUCUAAAUCUCUAUCCUUAUGGAAGUACCACUCUGUCUUGAUUAUUGUAGCUUUGUAGCAAGUUUUAAAAUUGGGAAGUGUGAGUCUUCUCACUUUGUUCUUCUUCUUUCAAAGUUGUAUUUGUUAUUUUGGGCCCUUUGCAUUUCUAUGUGAAUUUUGGGAUCAGCUUGUCCGUUUUUGCAAAAAGAAAAAAAAGGCAGUCAGGAUUUUGAUAGAGAUUGUGUUGAAUCUGUAGACUGAUUUGGGGAAAAUUGCCAUCAUCACAGUAUUAAUUCUUCUGGUCUAUGAAUGCAGGAUUUCUUUCCACUUAUUUAGGUCAUCUUUAAUAUAUCUGAACACUGUUCUGCAGUUUUUAGUGCACAGUUUUGUAUUUCUUUUGUUAAAUUCUCCUAAGUAUAUUUUAUGCUACUGUAAAUGGAAUUGUUUUCUUAUUUUAAUUUUCAGGGGAAAGUAAGAAAAUGGUCGGUCAUCACCUUCAGUCAUCAUCUCAGAUAGUGGGAUCAUGCUUGACUUUCCUUUAAGUUUUCUUUUUAAAACUGCAUUCUUCUUUUUUCCUUUUUUUUUUUUUUUUUGAGUCGCACAGGCUGGAGUUCAUUGCUAGUGUGUAGAAAUACAGUUGAUUUUUGUAUAUUGAUUUUGCACCCUGUAACCUUGCUGAACUCAUUUGUUAGCUUUCUGUGGAUUCUUCAGGAUUUUCUGUACUCAAAUUCAUGUCACCUGUGAAUAGAUGAUUUUACUUCCUUUCCGAUCUGGAUGCCUUUUCUUUCUUUUCCUUGCCUAAUUACCCUGGCCAAACCCUCCAGUGCAAGAUUCAGUAGAAGUCGUGAGAGCAGAUAUGCUUCUCUGGUUCCUGAUGUUGGGGGGAGGCAUUUCAUCUUUUACCUUUAAGGAUGUUUGUUGUGGGUUUUUGCUUGAUGCCUUUUAACUGUAAUCAGGUUGUGGAAAUUCCCUUGUAUUCCCAGUCUGUUGAGUGUUUUUAUCAUGAAAGGGUGUUGGAUUUUGUCAAAUGCUCUUUUCUGCAUCUCUUGAAAUGGUCAUGUGGUUUUUGUUCUUUAUUAAUAUACAGAUAAGUGUAUUACCUUGAUUAAUUUUCAUAUCCAAAGCAGCCUAGCGUUCCUCCUGAGAACUUCCAUGUCUCAAGUACAACUUUCAUUUUACAAUGACCCCCCUUGCUGUUGGGGCCACACCACCUUACAACUUGCCCAGCUCAGGAUGGCAAUUCUGACUGCAUGAUCGCUUGAUAUGUCUUGACCAGAUGCUCGGUUCUGACCAGAGCUCGGUAGCACACCUGGGGUGCUUUGUGGAUGAUGUGUGGUUCUUUGCGGGAGCUUGCAUGGCCUUGUUGUAGAACUCUAAGGGUUUUCAUAGUGACUCUCCUACAGGGGCUUGUCAGAAAGUCCAUAUGGUUCCUUUUUGGACCACAGAUAACUCUAGGGCUGUGAGAUCUGCUAGGUAUUGGGGUGCAGGCAUCGGGGCUGUUUGUACUGCAGCCUGGACUUGCUACAGAAUCCAUUAACUAACUGCUCACCCCAGUCAGAGCCAUCAGCUUUCCGUGUCUCUAGGUAAACAGAUUCAAGCAGUGUGACAAGCAUGGAAUAUGCUGCUUUCCAUAGACCUGUCAAGCAUUGCGUUUUGUUCUUAAUGGUACAAUGUACAAAAUGCAGUGUCUUGUUCUUUAUUUUUGAGAGGAUGCUGUAUCAUGUCUCAGACGACUGGAUUCCUAAAAACUCCCCAAAUGAAGCAGGUCCAAUUAGUAUGGUGUCACCAAUAUAUGGAUCCAUGCGAUUGAUUAUCUGUGGAGUGUCCGGAUGGUCCAGGACCCUUCAGAUUAUAUUACGAUGGAGAACAGGAAAAUUAACCAAAACCUGGGCAAGACUGCGAAUGUGUGCUACUAUCCAUCCCAGGGAAUUAGGAGAACGCUUAUAUGCUACUGCUCUUCAGAGAACAAUUGAAACACCUAUUCAAGUUAGAGACCUACGUACCCUGCAAACCGACUGCUCCAUUCCCAGUUCUGGAGGCCGGAGUUGGAAAUCAGUUUCACUGGGCACACAUGGAGGUGUUUGAAGGGCUGCCCGUGCCAGAGGCUCUCAGGGAGAAUCCCUUCCUUGUCUGUUCCAGCUCUACCUCCUCCUCUGCUGUAUACAAAGACAAAGAAACAGGCAAAGAAACAUCUCUGACAUCAAGAUCAGGAAGUCACAGAGAGUACUUGAGUACACAUUCAGAAGUUUCAAGGAUUUUCUGUUCGUUUAUUAAACCUUAACAUUUGCUGUACAAGUUUUCAACAGGCCAAGGUUAAGUGAAGAAUGAAAAUAAUGUUUAACUCCAUUACAAAAGAGGAGGCUUUUGAUACAGACUUCAUAAUGUUCUUUGAGGAAGCAGGUAUAUGAGGUUUGUACAUUGAAUGGAUGUUCUAGAUUGAGCAAAAUACCCUCUAUGCACUCUCCUGCAGAGAGUGUGGGUGAAAUAGAAAUGUAUUUCUGGAUAGAAAGAGCAAUGUAUCACAUGCAUUCUGAAGAAGUCUAGCUGAGCAAAACCUUAAGAUUUCCUGUUGUUGCUGGACCGUAGACAUCAAUAUGACCGCUUAGCAUAAAGAUAAAGGUACCUCAGGGCCCAAGAAUAAAAAUUCCAUCGAGCACAACUCAGCGCUCUGAAAAUCUAGAUUUCCCUAAUCCCAGAGGGUGAGAGCCAAGGAGGAGCUCGUCCUGCCCAUUCCUGCCUUCCUCUAUCCCUGGCACUCACACCACAAGUUUGCUCUACUCUUAAACAAAAGCACCUGUGUUUUAAAAUUUUCAUUUUAAGUUCUGGGGUACAUGUGUAGGACAUGCAGGUUUGUUACAUAGGUAAACUUGUGCCAUGGUGGUUUGCUGCACCCAUCAACCCAUCACCUAGGUAUUAAACCGCACAUGCAUUAGCCAUUUGUCCUAAUGCUCUCCCUCCUGCCAACCCCCCACCCCCGACAGGUCCCAGUGUGUGUUGUUCCCCUCCCUGUGUCCAUGUGUUCUUACUGUUCAGCUCCCACUUAUGAGUGAGAACAUGCAGUGUUUGGUUUUCUGUUCCUGUGUUAGUUUGCUGAGGGUGAUGCCUUCCAGCUCCAUCCAUGUUCCUGCAAAGGACAUGAUCUCAUUCUUUUUUAUGGCUGCAUAGUAUUCCAUGGUAUAUAUGCAUCACAUUUUCUUUAUUCAUUCUAUCAUUGAUGGGCAUUUGGGUUGGUUCCAUGUCUUUGCUAUAGUGAAGAGUGCUACAAUGAACAUACACCUAUUUUUUUUUAACCCACAUUAUUUAUAGUCUUGUUUUCAGUAUUUUGGUAGGCAGUGCCUGGUCUGCUCCUCUCCUCCCUUCUCUGAGUUGCCCUUUUCCUCAAUUCUCUUUUACCAACUUUCCUUUUGCGAUCGUCUCUACUCUCCUUUUCUCUAUACUUCCCCUUCUUUUUCUCUUGGCCUCGACUUCUGAAUCCUGUGACAAUGGCGUGGGGGGUUUGGUGGAGAGAGGGGAACUAAAAGUGGAAAUGAGACACUGGGGAAUAAUCACAAGAAAGGAAACAAGACUUCCCAACUCUCCCCGGCUGUGAGCCCCACGACAUGGUUUCCACAUGAGCCUUCUCCCCACUUUUGGCUGCCUCCCUGACACGUUUCCAAGGAGACCUUUCCAAGUCAAGGCCGCAGCUCCCAAAGUAUUGAAGCACAAACCCAGCCCACUUCCAAUAAAUCAUCCUCUACAUACAGUUGUCUGGUUUGUAUCAGAAUGUCCUUGGGAUUCCUGUAAUGCUUGUCUCCAGAGUCACUUAGCCAGCAUUUUGGCUAGUUUUUGUUUUUGUUUUUUUUUUUCUGAUACUCUGGUUGCAUAAAGUUAAACAGGGUUUGCAAAAUGUAAUUUCAUUAUAUGAACAACAAGUUCUAUACACUGAUGAAUAACUUGGUUUUAUGUGGGCACUUAAUUCCCAGUCUAGUGCUAAGUCUUUAUCUUAAUUUUAACUUUUAAGGCAAACAAUGCAAGGCAUCAUCUUUUGAGUGGGAAAGAGGAAAAGCAUUUUAAUGAAUGAGUUCUUGGUUGGGCGCAGUGGCUCACUCCUGUAAUCCCAGCACUUUUGGAGACUGAGGCAGGAGGAUCGCUUGAGCUCGGGAGUUCAAGACCAGCCUGGGAAACAUGGUGAAACCCCGCCUCUACACAAAAAUUAAAAAAUUAGCCGGGGAGGGGGAUUGAUUGUGUGCAUUUGCAGCUGAGCUGCAGUGAGUCCCAGCUACUCGGGAGGCUGAGGGGGGAAGAUUGUUUGAGCCUAGGAGGGUGAGGCUGCAGUGACUUAUGAUCCUGCCACUGCACUCCAGCCUGGGCAAUAGAGUGAGACUCUCCAAAAAAAGAAAAAUAGAAUGAAUAAUGAAUGAGUUCUUGAAAGGAGAGAUGUAGCUGGGCACAGUGGCUCACAUGCUUGUAAUCCCAGCACUUUGGGAGGAUAAAGCAUGUGCAUCACCUGAGGUCAGGCAUGGUGGCGGGUGCCUGUAAUCCCAGCUACUUGGGAGGCUGAGGCAGGAGAAUUGCUUGAACCCAGGAGGCUGAGGUUGCAGUGAGCCGAGAUCACACCACUGCACUCCGGCCUGGGUUACAAGAGUGAAACUCUGCCAAAAAGAAAGAAAGAAAGAGAGAGACAGAGACAGAGAGAGAGAGAAAAGAAGGAAGGAAGGAAGGAAGGAAGGAAGGAAGGAAGGUAGGAAGGAAGGGAGAGAGAGAGAGAAAGAAAGAAAGGAGAGAUGUGAAAAAUAUGUUUAAGAAUUUCUCAUACAUUCAUGUCUGAAAGGAAUCAUUUUAUUCAUCCCUCUUUCAUGGAUGAAGACAUUGAGGCCCAGGUGUGGUAAAAUUUGCCCGAAGUAGCCCGUGAGUCCGUGAGAUGUCCUGCUCCCAUCUGGAGAGGAGGAGACACGCACAGCCGUCUCCACCACAAGCCGGAUUCCAGACACUGAUCCUGCCACCACCACCCCAGUCUUCUGUCUGUCCCUCUCAGCAUGGCAGUCAUGUACCCUGGCACAAUUUCUGUGAAAAUCCCCUAAACCAAGCUUGUCUAACCUGUGACCCACAGGCCGCAUGCAGCCCAGGAUGGCUUUGAAUGCAGCUGAACACACAUUUGUAAACUUUCCUAAAACAUGAAUUUUUUCGCAUUUA